RNAcentral lists this ribosomal RNA (263 nucleotides) under uncultured bacterium. Its description in RNAcentral is "partial 16S ribosomal RNA". It matches the Rfam family "Bacterial small subunit ribosomal RNA", at positions 524 to 785 of the family's 1533-position model. The record is from RNAcentral.
UACGGAGGGUGCAAGCGUUAUCCGGAUUCACUGGGUUUAAAGGGUGCGUAGGUGGGAAUGUAAGUCAGUGGUGAAAUCUCCGUGCUUAACAUGGAAACUGCCAUUGAUACUAUGUUUCUUGAAUUUUCUGGAGGUCAGCGGAAUAUGUCAUGUAGCGGUGAAAUGCUUAGAUAUGACAUAGAACACCAAUUGCGAAAGGCAGCUGACUACAGGGACAUUGACACUGAGGCACGAAAGCGUGGGGAUCAAACAGGAUUAGAUAC